AUGCAGACCCUGAGUUUGCUGGCAUGUGGUUGAAUUUGAGGGGCUGCUCAUCGAAUUGGCAGAUGACACCAAACUGGGAGGGGUAGCUAAUGCCACGGAAUGCAGAAUUGGGAUUCAAUAUGACCUUAACAGAUUGGCGAACUGGGCCCAAGCUUACAUUUAUCCCUAUUGCCAUUCAUUUUGUAAGGUCCUGCACUUUUUCAAGAAUAACCAGCUGCGCAACUAUAAGCUGGGGAACACCUGUGAAAAGGAUCUAGGGACUUUAGUAGACCACAAGUAAUAGUCUCACUCUAUUCUGCCUUGGGCAGACAACACCUGGAGUACUGUGUCCAGUUCUGGGUGCCACAAUUUAAGAAGGAUAUUGAAAAGCUAGAACAUGUGCAGAUGAUCAAGGGUCUUGCUUGUUUUCUCUUGCUCCAGAGGGUAGGAUCCAAAUCAAAGACUUCAAGUUACAAGAAAGGGAAUCUGACUAAACAUCAGGGAGAACUUUCUGAUACAGUGAACUGUUUGACAGUGGAAUGGAGGGCCUAUGGAGCACUGGCAUCCACAUGGUAGCUUUAUUUUCCAAAGCACAUCUUUUGUGACGCAUAGUUUGUUGCUCAUCUGCUGAAGGAUCAUUGUUUCACCAGUAAUUUUUUUUUUAACUAACUGAACAAUGUAAAAUGUUCUGCUAGGCUACUUUGCGCUGCUCUUUUACAUCUGUCAGUCAAGGACUAUGCUUAUGACAAGGCUCAUGGCACUCUCAAAGAGACUCAGCUGUCAGGAGACUGGAUUUCAGCCAAAGUGUUCUUCAAAUGUUCUCUGUGGGUUGCAGUAUCUGGCUGUAUAGAAUGAGGGGGCUUUGUGUGUUUGCAUUCAUAAGUUUGGCUGAGAAGCUAUGCCAGAAAUAUUUAUAACAAGGGUGUGUGUGUGUGUGUGUGUGUGUGUGCGUGUGCGUGUGUGUACACGUACUCUGGAUUUUGGAUAGUCAGCAAUGUUGCUGGGCAAAAUACCAAAAAAGUUUUGAGUCUAUCCAAUAAUCUCCAGAGGGAGAGACUCAUCUCCUGGGUAGUUUAAUGACAUAAAAAGUCCUGCUGAAUCAGACUAAAAGCCCAUCUACACAACCCCCCUGUUCUCAUAGUGGCCAACAGAUAUCUCUGGGUCGCCUGCAAAAAAGGAUAUGAAAACAACAGCACAAAUACUAGCAAGGCAUUCCUGUACCUAGCUGUUAUUUUAAAGUUUACUGUAUGAUUGGCCUAUUAUACCCAAAUUAGAACCUGGCAAACAAACAAACAAAAUUGCCUCUUUCAGCAAGCAUUUGGAGGAGAAGAGACCUAAUCAGACAAAUUGAUUAAUUGCUGUAACUGCUGUUGCUAUUAGUAAUGGACAUUUGGUGGUUUAUUUUUAUUUUGUGCGUUUUUAUGGAUUUUAUGCACUCUUUUAAUGUUAUUUCAUUUUGUUGUAAACCACCUGUGUCAUGUAUAAAAGACAGUGUAUUUAAUUCAUUCAUAACAAUAUUUGUAUACUGCAAUUCCGUUAAAAACAUCAAAACAGUUAUACACAAUAAACAAUUAUACAUAGGGACACAUGGAGGGUCUGUCAUAACAAAUACAUUUUAAGCAUGCUUACACAGAAGUAAAUCUCAAUGAGUUGCUUGGACAACUGGUGCCAUUGAAAUGGGGUUUCAUUGUAAAGUUACUGUAGUUUGCAUUUUGAUGUUGAAUAUUGAUGCUUCAUAUAUGCUGUGCUUCUGUGCUUAUUUGUUUUAGUUUUUGUACAUUGUUUUGAGAUUUGAAUUGCUCCUAAAUUUUUCUUAAAAUAUGGACUAAUUAGUA
This is a long non-coding RNA of Podarcis raffonei (Aeolian wall lizard), 1814 nucleotides long. RefSeq lists it as uncharacterized. The record is from RefSeq and is a predicted model, not a curated record. The transcript is spliced from 2 exons. Lineage: Eukaryota; Metazoa; Chordata; Lepidosauria; Squamata; Lacertidae.